This 538-nucleotide long non-coding RNA is filed under the name Bemisia tabaci. Its description in RNAcentral is "lncRNA ENSSWEETPG012049". The record is from RNAcentral. Lineage: Eukaryota; Metazoa; Arthropoda; Insecta; Hemiptera; Aleyrodidae.
GAGCAGGCCGAGCAAGAGGAAGCGCAGGAGUUGAAGCCGACCAAGCGGCAGAGUCUGAAGAGGAAGCGGUUCGCGGUGAAGUUCGCUGCCCUGCCGGAGGAGAUGUCCCGAGAGGGAGGCCAGCUCACCAUCACCGAGUCUCUCGACUCGGACCAGAUGGAGGCACUCAAGACGCUCAAAGGACUCGUUGCCGACGAAAGCAAUUUAUACAUUGGCGAAGAUGACCGAGUUUUAAUGAGGUAUCUAAGGUGCACGAAUUUCAACCCAGACAAAGCUUUUUAUAGGAUGAAAUCUGUAUAUACUUUGAAAGCAAAUAAUCCCAACUGGUAUCCAGAUGGUAGGCCGCUUAAGGAGUAUAGCUGGCUUUUAGACAAGCAUGUUCAUCAUCUAUUAUCCAGUAGAGACUCGAAAGGGAGGAAAGUGUACUUGUUAAACUCGGUACGUUUGGUUUCUAUUUUGAAACAAGUUGUAAUUUAUGUACUAUCAGGUACUUUCACCAUCAUGUGCUGUUCUCUUUUUAAGAAUAACCAAACAUAAA